UUUAAACAAUCUUUAAUAUACACGAAGUAUAGUAAAUUAAUAUUUGAACAAUACUACAUUUGUUUAAAUAUUACAUAGCUCGGAACGUGCAUUAAAUAUAAAAUAAUUUUAUUGUAAUAUUUCAAUACUUUUAAAGUUAAUGUAGCGGUCGCUGGCUUUGUGAAGGUCAACACACAUACAUCUCUAAUUAACUUUGAUUGUUAUUAGAUCAGUUUUCCUCUGUAUUUCGAAGAGUAAGCGUCGCAGAUCUAGGAUAUCUUUUCUACAAGUAUCAACGAAGACUUAAAAACAUCAUUGCAAUUGUGUGCGAAGCGAUGAUGUAUCGCUAAAUUAAAAAUAUUGCGAAGUAGAAGCAGUGCUUGUUCGUUCGCGUUUCGCGAUUUAAACAAUAAGUGUUUUUGCAUCGACUGCGUGCAAUGCUGUCGUUAGAGUCAGUGUUUGAUCGCAAAGUUUCUUGCUUUUUUAAUAGUCGCACAGACUAUAUUUAUAAAAAACAAUAAAUUUUCGCGAAUUAACUUCAGUGACCGUCCGUUAAAAAAAUAACUAUCCCGUAAUAGAGUCAGUGCAUCAUUAAAGAGGAUCUCGACCAACUUUGACAUCAACCUACUUCAUUUUCAACCAACUAUGAAUCAUGCAUCCUCAAUUUCGACCUAAAUCAGGGACGAGUGUUUUGGAGCCAUCGCAGAACUUCUUAAGCAAUAAGUUACUCUACGAUAUUCAUUGAUGCUACUAUAAAAGAAGGUUAGAAGACAAGGAUAAUAGAGCAAAGUUCAUAGGUUCUUUCUUUAGAGAAGUAGGAAUUCGUGCGAUGCGAUUCGCGCAGCACGGCACUAUGGCGCGUCACUUCCUGACCGCGUGAGUGAGCUCUGACCCGUUUUACGAAGAAAGAAGCCAGGUCGAGUCUCUAUCGGCUGUCCAUCUGGUUGGCGUGUGACCUUUCGCAUCCUCGAGCCACCCCUUCUUUGCCUUGCGAAUAACGAGCGAAGAUAUGCAUUAUAGCGUGCAUAAAUUAGUAGAGCGAAAGCACAGAGACAAUAAGUUUUCUUUCAUUUUCCCUCGAACGCGAUGCUUAUUAUCCAUUUGUUUUUCGAAUGAUGAAAUCGUAAAAGAGUGAUAACGUCGUUUGCGAGAAUAAUGGUUUUAUGAAAGUCAAGCUUAAAUGUCAACUGGUUCGUGCGAAAAUUCGAAUAUUAAAGGCACAUUCCGUCGGGAAGUUCGAGUUCUCAACGACGUCGCUCUCGACGGUUUUUACGAAGAUUUCCGAUAAGGGAAUACGGCGAAAAACGGAAACCAUUUUACCUGGCAAAUGUGCGGAGUAGUUCUGCAGUUAUCACGAAACGACGAAAAAUAAAGAAGGAUACGUUCGCUGCGUUUAAAUUUGACAAGAUGAUGCGAGCUUAAAGAAAAGUUUAAACAUGCUCUUGAUAUUUUCCUAUUUAGUUUAAGAAAAAAUAAAGUUCAUGUUUAAUGACGUUAAUUUACUUAACUUCGCGAGGUUAGCAUACGGCUCUUUCAUCGAUCAUCUUUUAUCACAAGCCACGAACAUUAGUAAAAUUCAUAAUUCAUCUUCCUUAAUCUCCUCGUAUUUAUAUAAAACUAUACACACGUGUAUGUAUGUAUA
This is a long non-coding RNA of Vespula pensylvanica (western yellowjacket), 1621 nucleotides long. RefSeq lists it as uncharacterized. The transcript has 4 exons. Lineage: Eukaryota; Metazoa; Arthropoda; Insecta; Hymenoptera; Vespidae. The record is from RefSeq and is a predicted model, not a curated record.